RNAcentral lists this long non-coding RNA (2306 nucleotides) under Panax ginseng (ginseng). Its description in RNAcentral is "long non-coding RNA (PGIN_LNC011551)". The record is from RNAcentral. Lineage: Eukaryota; Viridiplantae; Streptophyta; Magnoliopsida; Apiales; Araliaceae.
GCCUCCAAUUUUUGAGAAAGGCUUUGUUGUGGGAGAACUUUUUAUAAAGAUCUCCUUAGUUAAAUUUUGGCGUGGAAGUGCGUAUUCAGUCUGUGGAAUUCGUAUUUCCGGGUAUGUUUCUUAUUUAAUUUUUGUAAUGUUAUUAUUUUUAAUUGUUAGUUAAAGUUUGAAUUUUUGAAGUUUAGUUAGUGUUGUUAAUAAACUAGUUAGUUUACUAUGUUUAUUUUGGCUUGGAAUUGAUUAUGUAAAUGAGUUAUUUGUGAUGACUUUUAAUAUUUUGUGAUGAAUUUCAUUAAUUAAUAAUUAUUAAUGAUAUUAAAGUUAUUUAAUGAUUAUAUUAAAUAAUUUAGUUUAAAAAUGAUUUUAAUAUUAUAAAAAUCAUUUUAAAUGAAAAUAAGGUAUUUAAAAAUAUUUUAAGUUAUAAAAUAUAACUUUUAAUAUUUAAAUGAUAAUUUCAUUAAUAAUUAAAUAUUAAUGAUAUUAAGAUAAUAUUAAUGAUAUUUAGUUUAUUUAAUGAUUAAUAUUAAAUAAAUAGUUUAAAAAUGGUUUUACUUAUUUAAAAACCAUUUAAAGAGGAUAUUAAGGAUUUAAAAAUAUUUUAAGUUAUAAUUAAUGACUUUUAAUAUUUGGAUAAAUAGUACAUUAAUAUUUAAAUAUUAAUGGUAAUUAUUUGGGUAAUAUAAAUGUUUUAAAAAUAGUUUGAGUUAUUAUAAAUAACUUUUAUAUUUUGGCAAUGGUUUCAUUAAUAGUUUAGUAUUAAUUAAACUAUUAAUGAUAAUGGAAUUGUUUAAUGUUUAAAUCAUUUAAUUAUGAUUCCGAUAUUUGAAAGUUAUAGCCGGCCAAACUAGCUGACUUGAGAACCGAUUAUGAAGUUCUGAAUUUGAAGAAGAACACCUAUAGUAACAGUUAUAUCACUAUAGGCCCUUUAGUGACAGAUUUGAAUUAUUUUAAAUUUUUCAAUUUCUGGAAAUUGCGAAAAUGAUUAAAAAUAAGAUGUCUGAUAUUUACAGAUGUUGAGGUAUAGAAUAAGAGUCUUAGACUCAGUAUUUACCCGAUAAAGCUGUCGGUACGCCGACAAAUGUCAGACCUUAUAAAAGAAAGAAAAGACUACUGUAAGAGCAUGGAUGAGAUAUUUGAAAAAUGUAUAAAAAUAUUUCAAGUAUAGAAUAGGAACUAAAAGUAUGAUCACUGUGAUUAUGUGAUUAGACUAUGUGCUGACUGUAAUAGACAGUACUAUGUGUUAAGAUAUAUUGUUCUAAUCGAACGAAUGAUCUGAUUAUUGAUAGGUUGUGAUAAAGAGAUAAAACCUAAGUUGAGAUUUGUAAUCAGCGAAUCAGGCAAGUAUCCUACCUUUGCACUUCCUUUAUGCAAUGGACAUGAGUAAGAAGUUUCAGAAUUAUUCUAUCCCUGUACAGAUUAUGUACUCUUUGAUUAUCGACAUGUUAGCUCAGAUAUAUAUUCUGUUCAUUGAUUUCUAUAAAUGGUUAUACAAGUGUCCCCACUUGGAUAAUCAUGGCAUUUGUUCACAUGUUGAUACACCUUUGUCAAUUACCCGUAUAUAUAUGUUGAAUUACAUAUUAUUGUUGAGCAAGAUUAAAAACCUUCGGGUUUGGAACCAGGCAUGUAUGAACAUCCCUAUAUGGGAAGAUUUUUGCGCAAGGCGGAUAGAGUGAGCGAUGAAUUUCGUUCAAGUUAUGUAGUAUUGAUCAAUACAGGGUACAACGGGGCUGAUCACCCUCCGUGCCCGUAAGUUAUGACGGUUUGAGGAUAGAAUUCCGCUAAACCUUUUCGAAAAUGAAAAGAAUGUUCAUAGUAUGUUUCUUAAACCCUAUUCAAGGGUAGAGCCAGAGCCAAAUUUAAAGAAUUUGAAAGAGAGUUGUUAUGUGAAUUUUUUAUCAGUACAGAUUACUUCACAACUUUCAAUUCGUUGUAGAAGUGUUAUGUAAAGAGAAUACUUAUAUUCUUUCAGCUUAUAUAUAAUUGCUAUUACUUGCUGGGCACUUAAAUGCUCAUCCUUGCUUAAAUUAAAUGUUUUCAGUUAUGUAUGAGCAACCUGAAGGCUCAGGCACGAACAAAGGAAAAGGAAAGCUGAUCGAAUAAGUGUGUAUUAUGAGUUAAUGGUUAUAGUUGUAUUGGUAUCUAUUCAAGUAUUGUAAGAAAUGUAUUUGAAGGUCACGUACCUGGGGAAGUAAACUUUGAUGUAUGUAAAUUAAGUUCGAAUGUAUUAUUAUUUAGUAUUAUUCAGCUUAAAGAAAUGGUAUCGUGGAGAACCGAGUUCGGGUUUCAAGUACCUGGAUUUGGGGUCG